UUCUCAGUAGCUCAAUAGGAUAGAGCAUCGCUCUUCUAAAGCGAGGGUUGUGCGUUCAAAUCGCACCUGAGAAA
This 74-nucleotide transfer RNA is filed under the name Vibrio phage vB_VhaM_VH-8. It matches the Rfam family "tRNA". Rfam says of the family: Transfer RNA (tRNA) molecules are approximately 80 nucleotides in length. Their secondary structure includes four short double-helical elements and three loops (D, anti-codon, and T loops). Lineage: Duplodnaviria; Heunggongvirae; Uroviricota; Caudoviricetes. The record is from Rfam by way of RNAcentral.